This 810-nucleotide long non-coding RNA is filed under the name Sinocyclocheilus grahami. Its description in RNAcentral is "lncRNA (ENSSGRG00000018281.1)". Lineage: Eukaryota; Metazoa; Chordata; Actinopteri; Cypriniformes; Cyprinidae. The record is from RNAcentral.
AUUUAAGACACAGUACCACAGAUGCCAGAGUAAAUACAGACUGUGACAUUGUAAUAACUGGACAAGAACAUCUGUGCAAGGAUGAAGACAUUACAUGCAAUGCUACUGAUGCUGUUUGUUGCAUCAGUCUUUUCAAAACCAUUUCAUUCGCGCAGAAGAUUUGAUUCAUCAGACUCUGUGCGAUCUAGAUUCAGUUCAGAGGAAAAUGAUUCAAGCAGAGAAGACAGGGAGGAUUCACAGUCGGAUGAGAAAUCUGAAUCAAACGGGUCUAAAUCAAGUGAUUCUGACUCUUCGGAGGAAGAUAUCAGAGUUGUGUCAAGCACAUUCCCUCCAGCUAGCACAACAAGUCCAUCGACCGCUGGCAAGACAACAGCAACCCCAUCAACUACCACAACACAAGACAUCACAAACUGUGUUACCGGAACAAGGGGUGAUGGUAAUGUUAUUAUAAUAUCGUGCGGUACUUCUGGUUAAUCAUCAGUUGAAUGUUUAAAGGUGUACAAUUCAUUACAAUUUACGUUAUAAAGUAAUGUUUAUGUGCCGAUAAUGAAGGUCUUGACACUGAAUGAUGUAAGUUUUAAAAUUAUUUACUUUUAAACGAUAUGUCACUAUACUAUGGUUUUAAGGGCUUAUUUAGAAUUUAAAAAAUCUUUCAAAUGCAAUUGUCAUAACAGUUUUAUGAUUUAACACCCUUUAACACACUGUUUUCCAAUGGGAUUUAUUACUGGUAGUACUUUGUCUGAAGCAAUAAAAUAUGAUUUAUCAGCAUAUUAAAAUGAGAGUUCAGUACAUUUUUUGCAACUUUUUCAG